RNAcentral lists this transfer RNA (86 nucleotides) under Thermochaetoides thermophila DSM 1495. RNAcentral describes it as "Chaetomium thermophilum var. thermophilum DSM 1495 tRNA". It matches the Rfam family "tRNA". Rfam says of the family: Transfer RNA (tRNA) molecules are approximately 80 nucleotides in length. Their secondary structure includes four short double-helical elements and three loops (D, anti-codon, and T loops). Lineage: Eukaryota; Fungi; Ascomycota; Sordariomycetes; Sordariales; Chaetomiaceae. The record is from Rfam by way of RNAcentral.
GCGCGGUUAGUUCAGUGGUUAGAAUUUUCGCUUCCCAUCUUCUCGUGGGCCAGCGAAGGACCCGAGUUCGAAUCUCGGAUCGCGCA